This 98-nucleotide transfer RNA is filed under the name Actinoplanes derwentensis. RNAcentral describes it as "tRNA-Arg". The record is from RNAcentral. Lineage: Bacteria; Bacillati; Actinomycetota; Actinomycetes; Micromonosporales; Micromonosporaceae.
CCUGAGCCAGAGUGUCGGUGACCAGGGCGUGCCGGGACCGGAUCGGCUCGGACGAGACCGGCGCGGCCGGCGUCUGCUCGGCGGCGGGCUGCUCGGGA